AGGGUUUGAUCAUGGCAUGGAGGAACGCUAGCGGCAGGCCUAACACAUGCAAGUCGAGGGGUAACGGGGAAGCUUGCUUCCGCCGACGACCGGCGCACGGGUGCGCACCGCGUAUGGAAUCUACCUUAUACAGGGGAAUAGCCUUUGGAAACGAAGAUUAAUGCCCCAUAGUAUCAUUUUACAGCAUUGUAUUUUGAUUAAAGGCUUCGGCCGGUAUAAGAUGACCAUGCGUCCCAUUAGUUUGUUGGUAAGGUAACGGCUUACCAAGACUACGAUGGGUAGGGGCCCUGAGAGGGGGAUCCCCCACACUGGUACUGAGACACGGACCAGACUCCUACGGGAGGCAGCAGUGAGGAAUAUUGGACAAUGGAGGAGACUCUGAUCCAGCCAUGCCGCGUGCAGGAAGAAUGCCCUAUGGGUAGUAAACUGCUUUUAUACAGGAAGAAAAAGAGCUACGUGUAGCUUACUGACGGUACUGUAAGAAUAAGGACCGGCUAACUCCGUGCCAGCAGCCGCGGUAAUACGGAGGGUCCGAGCGUUAUCCGGAAUUAUUGGGUUUAAAGGGUCCGUAGGCGGGCGAUUAAGUCAGUGGUGAAAGUCUGCAGCUCAACUGUAGAACUGCCUUUGAUACUGGUCGUCUUGAGUUAUAGUGAAGUUGCCGGAAUAUGUAGUGUAGCGGUGAAAUGCAUAGAUAUUACAUAGAACACCGAUUGCGAAGGCAGGUGACUAACUAUAUACUGACGCUGAUGGACGAAAGCGUGGGGAGCGAACAGGAUUAGAUACCCUGGUAGUCCACGCCGUAAACGAUGGAUACUAGCUGUCCGGAACCUUGAGUUCUGGGCGGCCAAGCGAAAGUGAUAAGUAUCCCACCUGGGGAGUACGUUCGCAAGAAUGAAACUCAAAGGAAUUGACGGGGGCCCGCACAA
This 926-nucleotide ribosomal RNA is filed under the name uncultured Bacteroidota bacterium. RNAcentral describes it as "bacterial SSU rRNA". It matches the Rfam family "Bacterial small subunit ribosomal RNA", at positions 8 to 928 of the family's 1533-position model. Lineage: Bacteria; Pseudomonadati; Bacteroidota. The record is from RNAcentral.